GGUUAUGGCUCAGUGGUAGAGUCCUUGUCUAGCAUGCAUGAGGCACUGGGUUUGAUUCCCAGAACCA
RNAcentral lists this transfer RNA (67 nucleotides) under Ictidomys tridecemlineatus (thirteen-lined ground squirrel). Its description in RNAcentral is "Spermophilus tridecemlineatus (thirteen-lined ground squirrel) tRNA". It matches the Rfam family "tRNA". From Rfam's summary of the family: Transfer RNA (tRNA) molecules are approximately 80 nucleotides in length. Their secondary structure includes four short double-helical elements and three loops (D, anti-codon, and T loops). Further hydrogen bonds mediate the characteristic L-shaped molecular structure. tRNAs have two regions of fundamental functional importance: the anti-codon, which is responsible for specific mRNA codon recognition, and the 3' end, to which the tRNAs corresponding amino acid is attached (by aminoacyl-tRNA synthetases). tRNAs cope with the degeneracy of the genetic code in two manners: having more than one tRNA (with a specific anti-codon) for a particular amino acid; and 'wobble' base-pairing, i.e. permitting non-standard base-pairing at the 3rd anti-codon position. Lineage: Eukaryota; Metazoa; Chordata; Mammalia; Rodentia; Sciuridae. The record is from Rfam by way of RNAcentral.